Molecule: ribosomal RNA, 667 nt
Filed under: Helvella bicolor
Lineage: Eukaryota; Fungi; Ascomycota; Pezizomycetes; Pezizales; Helvellaceae
Description: eukaryotic LSU rRNA
Rfam family: Eukaryotic large subunit ribosomal RNA
Source: RNAcentral
AAUCUGGGGUCCACGACCUCCGAGUUGUAAUUUGGAGAGGCAUCUUCGGGGGGGAGCGCCGGCCCAUGUUCCUUGGAACAGGACGUCGCAGAGGGUGAGAAUCCCGUGCCAGGCCGGCUCCCUCCUCCCGCGUGAAGGGCCUUCGACGAGUCGAGUUGUUUGGGAAUGCAGCUCCAAGCGGGUGGUAAGUUUCAUCUAAAGCUAAAUACCGGCGGGAGACCGAUAGCGCACAAGUAGAGUGAUCGAAAGAUGAAAAGCACUUUGAAAAUAGAGUCAAAAAGUACGUGAAAUUGUUGAAAGGGAAGCGCUUGAGACCAGACUCAGGCCCGGGCAAACACCGCGCCCCCCGGGGCCGUGCAAUUGCCUGGGGCUGGGCCAGCAUCAGUCGGCGUGGCGGGACAAAGGCGCGGGGAAUGUGGCUCCCCUCGGGGAGUGUUAUCAGCCCCGCGCUCAAUGCCGCCGACGUCGACUGAGGACCGCGCCUCGGCUAGGAUGCUGGCUUAAUGGCCUUCAGCGACCCGUCUUGAAACACGGACCAAGGAGUCUAACAUCUAUGCGAGUGUUUGGGCGCCAAACCCUUGCGCGGAAUGAAAGUGAACGGAGGUGGGAACCCCCCAGCGGGGCGCACCAUCGACCGAUCCUGAUGUCUUCGGAUGGAUUUGAGUAG